ACAGAUAAUAAUUCAUUAUUUGGUGAGAGCUACUCAAGAGACUGAGAUUGUCAAGGCUGAGUAGAGAGAAGAAAAGGAAAAUUCUGAAUUCUAGGUGAAAGCUGAGGAGGAGGAGCCAGAUAGAAGACACACAAGGGGAUGCUCAGAGAAGUAGAAGUAGAUUCAAGGCACAGAAUUAUUAGGGGAAUGAUUUGUUUAUAUGAUGAGAUUUUGAGUUACUUGAAAAGGAAAAGGAAAAAGAAUAAAAGAAAUGACUACAUAUACAAAGGAAGGGAUCAUUUAUGUAGCCAAGUCUAAAAGGUGGGAAUGGGCAGGACCACAGUAAUCAAAUCUUCAGAGAACUGGGAAGGGGUGAGGAUGAAAGUCAGCACACACAAGCUUUAAGGUUCAGUGAACCAGGAUGAUAGGAACCCUAACAUUCUCAGGAAAGCAGAAGGAACCUCAUCAUCUUCAGAGUAUAGAGUCGAAAGGGAAGUGUGGGACUUUAAGGGUGGGAAAAUUAGUCUGGCUCAGUCAGGAAUGGGCCAUCAGGGGUGAAUAAAGAGUGUGUGAAUCUGGUAGAGCCAGUGACUAAAAUGUUAUGUGUUUUCUUGAUGUAAGAAACAAAGUAAAUAGAUGUGAAACAUAUUUUCAAAUACUUUUCUUUAAAAUAACAUUAUUAGAUUGUUUUAGUCGCAACAAGAUAAGUUAAAAAAAAACACAGAUAUCCUCUGUUUACUUAUUUUUCCUGAGAAUAUGAUGAAUAUUUGGCAUGUUAAUCUGCCCUGGCAGCUCAGGAAGUUCAGGCGACUAACACUGAUAAGGCACGUUGCCACCACUGUGAGAACCUCCAUCUUUCAAAGAGGGGAAGGUUGUUUGUAUUUCUCCAGCGCUGCCAGAUCCACCUCUCCAAUUUCUGAUUCAUUCAACACUUAUCAAGUGGUUUUAUCCUCAAAUCCUCUAGGACAACUCCUUCCCUGGCCAACUGCUCUCCUCUUUGCCUAGGGAAUUAUCCAAAGCAAGAAGUGAUCGUACAUACCCUGGAUUCCCAGAUGAUCAUGGAGCAUGACCAUCAUCUGAGAGAUUAACUUCUGGACUGGAAGAGUUUAAAUCUGUUCUCAACGCUCAGACAUGCAUAGCCCCGGGAGGAACCCAGGGCCACAAGUGCAUUCAACGUACAGAUGAUCAGUGUGUCAAUGUAUCCUGCAUUGCACAUUAAUUCCCACAGCUAGCUGCAUUCUUCAUCGACACACAAGCCAAGCAAUCCACCACUAAGAGUCAUAAAAAGCACUUUGAACAACACAGAAAGACAAAAAUACAGCAACAUCAGAAAGGAUCAAUCACAGUGGGAGCAAGCCAACUGCCACAUAAUGGAAGGCACUCAAGCAACCCUAUGGAGAGUCCCACAAGGUAACUGAAGGUUCUGGCCAAAAGAUAGUGAAGAACUGAGGCUUCAUGUCAACAGCUGAGUGAGUGAACUUGAGAGCAGAUUCUCCAGCCCCAGUCAAGCCUUUGGAUUACUGCAGGCUUGGUCAAUCAUCUUUAUUUUGAUUUUAUGAGAGACCUCACUCCUGAACCACCAGAAGAGUCUAUAGUAGUCAUCCUAAAGCUGAAAGACGUUACACUUAAGGAACUACUACAUACAAGAAGUCUCUCCUGGAUCAUAUUUGUAAUAGAUGCCAACAUCAUGGAUUUCCAGCUGAUGUUGUGACUUUGGAGAGGAUAUGGAUGGGAAGAGGUUACUUGCAGGUGAGAAUAAGGUAAACAAUUUGUGUGCAGAGGUUAGACUGUAGGUAGUUCUAAAAUAUGUCCACAAAUUAUUUGCUAUUCCUCCCUUAAAUAGGUGAAGUCUCAUUCCCCUCUCCUUGAGUACAGGCUGAACUUAGCUACUUAUUUCUAACUAAUAGAAUAAAACAGUAGUGACAGUAUGCUACUUUUGAGGGCAAGUCAUAAAGUCACUGUGGUUUUCAUCUUUCUUUCUCUCGGUUCACCCUAGGGAAAGACAAUUCCCAUGUCAUGAAGACACUUCACCGGCCAAGUGGGAAGGCUCACAUCAUGAGCCUAAGGAAACUGAUGCUCAAAGGAUUAUGUUAAGGAUCAAGGAAAAGACAACUAGCAAGAGUGCUUUGUAAAUCAUAAUAUGCCAAAUACAAUCUUAACUAUAGUUCUGCAAAAAUAGGAAUGAUAUUAAAUUGAGAGUCAUAACUUGGAGUUGCCCUGACACCAGAGUCUAGAGAACACCUAAAUGAACCAGAGAAGAGGGCAGAAAAGGCAUCCCUUGGGGAAGAAAGAAGAUCUGGUGUACUAAAGAACUCUGCUGUGGAAUAAAAGAAUAAGAAUUAGGGUUUACUUGAUAGCUUCUAACAAAGGGUGUCAAGAAGUGCAAAACACCAAAGAAUAUCCCAGCAGUUAAGGGCAUGGACAUCAUUCUGCCUGGUUUUGAAUUCUGGCUCUGCCAUGUGACCAUGUGGCAAGCUAUCUGACCUUUCUGUGACUCUGUGUUCUCACCUGUGAAAAUGGAAAUAAUAAUUGUACCCAUCAGCCAGGCGUGGCAGAUCACACCUGUAAUCCCAGCAC
Molecule: long non-coding RNA, 2556 nt
Filed under: Homo sapiens (human)
Lineage: Eukaryota; Metazoa; Chordata; Mammalia; Primates; Hominidae
Description: HSALNT0354389
Source: RNAcentral